This 5868-nucleotide long non-coding RNA is filed under the name Citrus maxima (pomelo). Its description in RNAcentral is "long non-coding RNA (CMAX_LNC002461)". The record is from RNAcentral. Lineage: Eukaryota; Viridiplantae; Streptophyta; Magnoliopsida; Sapindales; Rutaceae.
UCUGCAUUGCAUAAAUGACAUUCCGAAUGACCUUAAAUCACUACCAAACCAAAAAAAGUGUACAACAUAAGUGAGGAAGAGCAACAAAUGCCAAAAAGCAAUCUUCAAUAGAAUCACCAUCUAACUGACUGACUAACGAACUAAUUUGCAAGUGGGCAUGUCAACAACAUGGAUAAGUGCCAUAAAAAAUCAAAUUAACAAAAUGGGAUUCCUCUAAAACAAGCAAAAUUGAAAAGGCUUUUGUAAAAUUUGCAAAAGAACAAAUUUGUAAAAUUACCAAAUUGAUUUGACCCAUCAAAAACUGCACUGACAACAUUUUCGUUAACCAAACUCAUCGAGGUCAUGUAGCUGCAAAACAAGUCGUUCUCGAGGUCAACUGAACUCAUCGAAUUAUCGAUCUGAAAUGAGAUGCAUACUGUCUGGAAUCCGAUAUUGCACCUCGAAUUACGAUGAAUGGUUGGACGGUGCUAGCAGAUUUGGGUUCGGAUCUGGCGGAUUUCGGCUUUGCAUGUUCGGAGAAUUGAGAGAGAGAGAGAUUCGGCAUUAUAGAAUGACGAAUAUGGACUGUUUUAAUUUUUCAUUUUGUCUUUCUCAUCAUAGAUUUCUAUGGUGCCGUUGAGAUUUGAGAGUGAGCCUUUUUUACCGCUUUCACUUAAAAAAGAAAAUGAAUAUUACAUGGAAACGAUUUAGUUUUAAUAAAUUUUAAAUUUUAUAAUUUUUUGUUGUUGUUUAUAUCUUAAUUAUAUAACAUUAUUAUUUUAAAAUAAGUCAAGGAUAAAAUUGAUAUAUAUAUAUAUAUAUAUAUAUAUAUAUAUAUAUAUAUAUAUAUAUAUAUUUUGUUGGGUUCGGAUUUAUCAUUUUUAGUUAAAUUUUAAAUUUAUGAUUUUAUACCCAAUUUCUCAUUCAGGAAAGGAACAUGGCCAAUUUUUAUAAACUAAUUUAAAGAAAAAUUAUAGAUUUACGAUUUUAUUAAUAUAUUAAUAUAUAUUAUAAUUAAUAAUAAUAAUAAUUUUUGAAUAAAUAAUCACUGUAAUUAAAAUAUAAAAUAAUUAUUAUGAUAAUAAUUCAUUGAGUACUUUUUAGUAAUUUGUUACAAUCUAACUCAUUUCAAAAUCAAUUCCAAGGUAAAAUAAACACAUCAAUGAGAUUCCAGUCCAUUCCGAUUUCAAUUCUCGUAAGUCAAGUAAACAAUUUAUUCUGAUUCUCAUUCCUCAUUCCGAUUGAUGGCAAAUACACGCAUAUACAUACAUACAUAUACAUACAUACAUAUAUAUAUAUAGAUGAGUUUAUAUGUAUAUAGAAGAGUUUAUAUGAUAAAUUAAUACAAAUAAAAAUCAAGAUGCAAACAUAUGUACAUGCAAGGAAGACUCGGCUCAACUUUUAGUUUAAUUGACUUGACCUAAAUUUUCUGGCCUUUGACUCGAAUUUAAUGGUUAGGCUCGGGCCUAAAUAUUAGAGCCCGAUUAAAUUCAGAUCAGGGUUCGGGACCUAUAUGCCCGACCCGACCCAACCCGACCUGAUCCUAAAACUUAAAAAAAUUGUUAUAUAUAUAUUAAGUUUAUUAUUUAUGUAAUAAUACGGUUAUGACCUUGAGUAAUUUUUAUUUGUAUGUUACUUCAAACAAUUUCUGAAGCUUUUAUAUUGUAAUGUAUAUGGGGAUGCUACGCCCAAUUUUUAAAUUUUAAAUUAACUAAAAAUUAAAAAAAAUAAAAGAAAGUGUGAUCAGGCCUAGGCUUUCAAAUAAUCGGGCUUUUUUAUGCUUGAAAUUUUUAUUUCAGUUAUAGAGUCAGGCUCAGAAAUGGCUAAGCGCGGGCCCGACUGGACCCACUGCCAUCCUUACGAAUAUACUAUUGAUCCAUUACGAGUUCAUCAGUUAAAUUCAUAAUCACUGUAAAUGUGUUACUAUGGCUAAGCACGGGCCCGACUCGACCCACUGCCAUCCUUGUGAAUAUACUAUUGAUCCAUUACGGGCUCAGUAGUUAAAUUCAUAAUCAUUGUAAAUGUGUUACUAUCAUUCAAAUCUCAUACAAUCUAAAAUUAUAAAUAUACAAAAAUGGUUUCAAUGACUUCCAAAAGAUUGCCAAUAGUCUAACUCUCUAAUUUAUUUCGCAUAGGAUAUGGGUCGGGUCAACUAAGCUAGAUUAAUGUUGAAAAAAAGAAGCGAAUUAAUAUUGGAGUGGUCAAUUGGUCUUCAGAAUUGUAAGAAUUACAAAAUUUUGAAAAAUGACAUAAAACUCAUAAAUUAACAUUAACUGUAAAUUAAACAAACAAACUGUAAUCCACACAUAAGAUAGCUUGACAGAAAAUUAAGUAAAUUAAUGUUAGAUUUGAAAAUUGGUCUCAGAAUUAGAAGAAAUAAAAAAAAUUGAACAAAACAACAUAAAGCUCGUAAAAUCACAUUAAGUAUGAAAUGAAACUAAAAAAUUAUAAAUCAUGCAUAGGAUUAAAAGCAUGAUAUAAAACUCGUAAAUUGACAUUAAGUGUGAAAUAAAACAAAAAAUUUGUAAAUCAUACAUAAAACUAGUAAAUUAAUGGAAAAACAGGUAAAUUAAUGUUGGAGUUGUAAAUUGCAAGAAGAACUUGUAAACAAAAAAAAACUUUAAAAAAUGACAUAAAACUUGUAAAUUGACAUUAAUUGUGAAAUAAAACAAAAUAUUUGUAAACCACACAUAAAACUAGUAAAUUGAUGGAAAAAUUGGUAAAUUAAUGUUGGAGUUGUAAAUUGCAAGAAAAACUUGUAAACAAAACAAAAACUUAGAAAAAUGACAUAAAACUUGUAAAUUGACAUUAAGUGUGAAAUGAAAUAAAAAGUUUGUAAACCAUACAUAAAACUAGUAAAUUGAUGGAAAAUUUGAUAAAUUAAUAUUGGAGUUGUAAAUUGCAAUUAGAAUUUAUAAACAAAACAAAAACUUAGAAAAAUGACAUAGAACUUGUAAAUUGACAUUAAGUGUGAAAUGAAACAAAAAUUUUGUAAACGACACAUAAAACUAGUAAAUAUUGUUGUUAAUAAUAAUAAUAAUAAUAAUAAUAAUAAUAAUAAUAAUAAUAAUAAUAAUAAUAAUAAUAAUGAUGAUGAUGAUGAUGAUGAUGAUGAUGAUGAUGAUGAUGAUGAUGAUGAUGAUGAUGAUGAUGAAAAUACGUGAUAGAGUAAAUAUUUAUCACCAAUAGGCCAUUAGUUAUUGAUAUAUAAAAAGUAUAUCAUAAGUACAUAAUAAUUUUUUUAUAGAUAAAAAAUUUAUCACAAAUUUGUCAUGCUUUUAUAAUUUAAGACCUUUUACUCAUGAUUUGUCACAAAACUCUUGUCAUCUAUUAUCAAUUUUCUCAUGAUGUCAUAACUUUCAAGGACAGUCAUGGCUGAGCUAGCAAGAUAUAGAAUAGAUUUAGUUAAUUAUUGGUUACAUUUGGCUUUUCUUGUAUUGUAUGCGUUUAUGUUUGUUUGGACAACUUUCUUUGUUUCUAAUUAUGGGAGGAUAAGGUUUAUUAUAUUCCUCAUAGGUCAUAACUGGCUAUUUGUUUUAUCUUUUACUUCAAGAAAUUUCCCUCAUUUUGUCGAGGUUUGCUUCAAAAAUUUUUACACUAUGAUCAUUAGAGUAAUCGGUGUCUUAGGGGCAAGUAUAUAAUUAAAGAGACACGAAAUUUAUCAUGGGCUGGUUCUACUUACAAACAUCAAAUAGAAAGUUAAUUAAAUGGUUAUUAUUUCUCUAACUCUAAACAUCAUAUUAAUUAGAAAUAACUUAACUUAAUAUUAUGCAUCAUCAAUUACAUAAUAAAAAAUGCUCCUGACUUAUUCCACUGCUAAGAAGAUAUAAAAAAUUGUUUUGCACCGUAUCUUCAAAUUCAAAGUAUUUAUUAUUGCUGGAGUUGGUAAAUCUUUAAAUGAGUAAAAUUAUUAAAACAAGGGAAAAUAACAUAGUGACCCCCAACAUUUAGACAAGAGACACAAAAUCCCUUAAUAUUUUAAAAAAGACAUCCAGAUACCCAUUUAUUAAUGGAAACUGAUUUUUAACAGAAAUUAUAAUUUUUAACGUGUAAUUACCAUUAUACCCUUCUAGCACAUUAAAAAAUAAUUGUUCAUUGUCCGAUUUAUCCUUAUAUUAUUAAUAAAAUUACAAAUAUGCCUUCAUUGCUCAAUUUCUCUAUUUAAUUUUUUGUCAAAUUUUCUCUUCAAGCCAAAUAAAUUUAAUCCACUGCUCAAGAAUAAAAAUAAAUAAAAUUGGUUAUUAAUGCCAUAAAAAUAACAAUUCUUCAUAUGUCAAUCAUUUAAACUUGUAUAAUCAACAAAAAAAAAAUAGUUACAACAAUAAUUACAAAAUCUUAAUUGUAUUAAAUAACAUAUCGAAUAGACAUAAAAAUCACCAAUCCAGUAAACAUAACAAAAAAUCCUUAUAUCAUAAUAUUGUAUCAAAUUGGUACUGGUAAACAUUACAACAAUAACCAUAAUAUUUUUUUAAAAAAAAACAUAAUAUGUUCACAAAUUUGUAUGACAACUCUAACUCCUAGCUUGUGAGCUUCCUCUCAUAGCUUGUGUGGUUGUUGCUGCUCGAUUAGUGUAUAAAUAUUAGUAUAUAAAUUUUAUUUUUAUAUAAAAACCUAAAGAAAAAAAAAUUCACAUGCUCCAAGACCAUUAAAAAACAAAUGCAUAAUAUCUCACCUAGGUAGAAUUCUAACCCAACUAAUUAGAUAUAACAAAAUAAAAUUGAUUCAUUUAUUCCAUGGACAUCUAAAAAUUGAUAAAAAAGAAAUAACAAAAGUAAUUAGCAAGAAAUCUCCCAUAAGCUGGACAAAUUAAGAACUAUGUUCAUCAAACAACCAUAAACCAAAAAAAAAAAUUCUCGUAAUCCUUUAUUUAUAUUCUCGCACAUACAUCACAUAUGCAUCAAACAGGCUAGAAAUAUUUUAUACCACUUUAAAUCUAUUAGAAUUUUUUUCUCAAAUCUCAAAAGCAUAAAUUUUGAAUGAUAAUAAAAAGAAAUAAAGUUAAUUUCGUUAAAAAAAUGAAAAUUAUAGAGAGAAAAAUUAGUUUUAAGAGAAUUGAACCCUGGAUUCCACAAGCAAGAGCAGCAACCAAACGCGGCUUCCUCGAUCGCACGAGCAGCAACCAAACGCGGCUUCCUCGAUCGCACGAGCAGCAGCCAAACGCGAGCAGUUCCAGCAGCCAGACGCGGUCUCGAUCGAUGCACGAGCAGAAGUUCCAGCAGCUUCCUCGAUCGCGAGCAGUUCCGGCAACCAGACGCGGUCUCGAUCGACGCACGAGCAGAAGUUCCAGCAGCUUCCUCGAUCGCGAGCAGUUCCAGCAGCUUCCGGCAGCGCGAGCAGUUCCAGCACCUUUCGGCAGCGCGAGCAGUUCCGGCAACUUCCGGCAGCGUGAGCAGUUUCCGGCAAACCGUGUGAGUGUGUGUCUGUUAAAGGAUUUGUCUAAGAUCUGGGAGCAGUGUGUAUGUGUGGCUUGUUCGUGUGUGUUAAGGGUAUGUGUGUGUUUUGUUCGUGUGUGUUAAGUGUGCGUGUGUUCUGUUUGUGCGUCUUAAGUGUGCGUGGGUUUUUGGUCAAUUCAUUUGCUAUUAAUCUGCAAUUACGAUAUUAAUCUUUUAAUGAUUUAACGAAACGAUUUUCAUUAAUAAAUAAGAGUUUAAAUAUUUUUUUUAAAUAUUAAAGAUUUUAUGUUUCUUGUCUAAACGUCGAGGGUAUUGUGUCAUUUUCCCUUAAAAGUUAAAACAAUAACAAUGAUAUGGUAAAGAAGAAUGGUAAGCGCGAGCCGCUGAAUUCGAGCCAUUUGGAAGGAAAAAUUUUCAGGUAAAAAACAAUGGUCGACCGGAGUUGGUAAAUCAAAUCGUGUUGCUUUUUCCCAUUGGUUUUUCAAGAAUUUUCGGC